CCUCCUUAGAUUUAAUCUAAAUCUCCUAUCUUUUAGUUUAAAACUAUUCCCCUUAGUCUUAUAGCUAUCUGCCUGUGUAAAAAGUCAGUCUCACUCCUGUUUGUAAGUCCCCUUUAAGUAUCAAAAGGUUGCAAUGAAGUCUCCAAAACUUUGCCUUCUCCAGACUAAACAAGCUCAGAACCCUCAGCUUCUCUUCUCUUCUCUUGUCAUUUUUCUUUUUUCCCUCCAUUUUUAAAGAAAAUGAAACUCCUUGACUGAACACCUUCCUCUCUAGUCAGCAUCAUGUUUUCUCAAGUUACUGUAUGGGAACCGUUGAAUCACGGCCUGAACCUCUGAUUGACCACCUGAGGUGAGCACUGAGUCAGCCGCAGAGGCACAGGUGAAGGCAAUUUCACCUGAGUGACAGGUAGGGGGGGGGGAGGAGCCAGGCUCCACCCCUCCUAGACCCCAUUUAAGGGCUGACUUCCAAGGAGGAAGGCUCUCUCUCUGGAAAUCACUCCUUUUGGAGCCCUUUGGGACAUGGUGAGAGUUUCUGCAAAGCUGUGAAAGGCACCGGGCAAGUGUCAGCCCUCCUUGUAAUUCUGCGACCUCCGCGCUCAAACACUGCCGCCGACUCGGGAGCUCGGAGGGAGGGGAGGAAGGUGAAGGGAUCACAGCAGAACUGCACCAGAGCAGCGGGACACUUUAGUGAGAUGAAAGGUCAACGCGGGCUUAGCGCUGUUGUGGUGUCAUUUCCUCUGUUUGUCCCUUGGUGGAGUUCUUGAGUUACUUUCUCCCUUCAGCCAAACGGUUUUAACUGCUUUCUAUGGGGGUUUUGUCGUCGUUUUUCUCCCGCGUUCGAAUUUGCUGUCAUGUUUACUGUAUUUAACCUUUUCCUCGUAUUAUUAUGAAUAUGUUAUUUCCCAGCUCACCUGAUUUUUUUCCCCCUUCUUUGGUGCGCGUGCGUGUGUGGGCACAAACUAAUAAUACGCAUUGAUUAACGCACAAAGCUAUAUAAAUGAUUAAAUAACCCUUCUCUUGAGGUUGGCUCCCACUGCAGACCAGAAAGGUAACUCUCUGGUCAGAGGCACCGACAUUCCCGAACUGCAGAACCGAACCGUUCCGGGCUGAAGGCGGAGGGAGCAGGGACCGCCGGGACAUAGCCGAACAAACACUAAUGGCAUCUGCAUAUCUCAGCCGUGACCCCGUCUUUCCAAUCACUACCACAGUAGGAAAGCCCCGUUGCAGAGCUUCGAAAAGCAGCGCUGGGGGGUGCAGAGGAGCUGGGGAAGCUCCCAGCCUGCUUUAGGAUUCCCCCACGUACAGCAGGCUGCGAAUGUCAGCAAGACGGAUUCCUUCCCACACGCACGAUGCCACCUCCGUGGCCUUAUCAGAUGUUCCCUUUAAGGACACAAGCUCUUAUUUCCCCUCUGUAUAUCUCCGGCAUCUCGGGCUAUUUUAUUUAUUACAGCCGAUUACGCUGGCGAUCCCGCUUCCCACUUGAUCUCACCAGAUCAGGAGGACAAACGUCUGAGCGCGUGUGGGCGUCUGUGCGCAUCGGGUGGGCAGGGGGGGCUGUGCUGCGCAACAGCUUUGCCCGGCUGGUUGUGGGGGGAGCCCUCCCCCGCCCGCAGCCGCUGGGACCGGCUCUCCGCGGGGCCGGGGGGUGGCUGGGCUUCCCUUCCCCCCCACUUCCCCAGCACGAAACGAAGCAGCGGGAUGCGGGGGGAGGGGGGAAGGGGGCAGGCCAGCCCUGGCCCCCUCCCGGCAGCCGCGACACGUGGAGCCGGAGCGACACUGCCAUCCACCAUGCAGUGCACGUCGGGCCCAUUUCCCACGCCGUUUGCCUGCCCUGGGGGAAGAAAAGGAGGAGGGGGAGGAAGGGGGAAUGAUGGAGAAGAGGGGGGGAGCCGUUACCUCUGCUCCGAAAGAGGAACCAAUCCACUGUGAAGGACGAGGCACUCCCGAGCAGGAAAGACAUUGCACAUUCAGAGAGAGAUUGCAUGUGAAGACACUGCAAAGGGGAGAGAAGGGGAGGGGGGCCGGGGGCAGCCCGAGUGUGAAAGGCGCAGUGUGUGUACGGAGGCCGGGAGUGGGGCGGGGGGCAGGGGGGUGGGGGUGGGGAGGGGGAAGGGUGACACUACACAUGGCAAGAGAAAGAGAUCACUCAUUCGCUUGGAAAACGCUCUCGCAAAGCAAACCGCGGUGGUAGACAUGGGGGACAGCGGGGAAGAUGCCACGGUCAGGAGGAGCCCGCACCGUGCAACAGUUCGGAAUCCGAUUAAAG
Molecule: long non-coding RNA, 2266 nt
Filed under: Gallus gallus (chicken)
Lineage: Eukaryota; Metazoa; Chordata; Aves; Galliformes; Phasianidae
Description: lncRNA (ENSGALG00010011691.1)
Source: RNAcentral